This 104-nucleotide small nuclear RNA is filed under the name Dasypus novemcinctus (nine-banded armadillo). The record is from RNAcentral. Lineage: Eukaryota; Metazoa; Chordata; Mammalia; Cingulata; Dasypodidae.
GUGCUUGCUUGGACAGCGCAUAUACUAAAAUUGGAAUGAUACAGAGAUUAGCAUGGCCCCUGCACAAGGAUGACGUGCAAAUUUGUUAAGUAUUCCAUAUAAAA